GGCAGGGCUCCCUUAUCGGCAAUGUGGAGGAGUCUAAUCAGAUAAAAAAAGAUGGAGGAAGGCGAGCGAGAGCGCGUCGUCGUCGAGUCGCGCGUGGCAGGUGUCGCUGCCGCCCACUACAAUGUCCUAUCGGACCACCUCUGUUCGGCGCGCGCCAAAGCGCACGGCUGCUGCGGCAGCAACGCCGGCAGCCGGCGGCUUGCGCGACGGCGGCAGCAGCAGCUGACAUCUCGGCGGGAGGUUCACAUCGACCGCGGUGGGCACGUGACCGCCGGCGUCUGCACACCGGUGUGUAUGUGUGUGUGCCGGCAGCCGGGCCCACACGACGGCGGGCUCUCAGUUUCGGCCCGGAGUCCGGACGCGGCGGUUGGGCUCUUGGCGCGCAGCUUGGUUGGCACUCGGGACGCACGCUCCGUAGAUCGCGGACGCCUUUGCACGUGGCAGGAGCGAAAGACCGAGACCUUCCCGCCUGCAGCCGCCGUCUGCAUCAAGGUGGGUUUCGUUGUAUCCAAUUCUACACCCGAAGUGGGUUAAUUCGAAAGGCGUAAUUAGUACUGCGGCACAGUUUGAAAUAGAAGAGGUAAACGCAGAUGCGCAUUGCUCCGUGCGCCGAGAUUCAGAAGCUUAACUAGAGUGUAUACCCUGCAGCGCCUCUACAGAGGAAUCUGUCGUUCACCGUCCAUAAGCGAAGCAUCGUCUGGUCUGCGAGAUGAGAACAGACUAUUGUCAGCUUUAGCAGAGAUCGACGUUUUCUUUCUGAUGGGUGGACGCGCCCCGAUCGUUCAGAAUUCGGCUGCCAGCACUUCUCCCGCGCCGCAAUCGAAAGGCGGCGGACCAUUGGUUGAUUCUUCGUCUGCGGCUUCUAGUAGCUGGCCAUGUUUCUCUCUCACUCUCCUAUUCGGAGCGAACGGGAUUGCUGAAACAACGUAGCUAAUCGCAUACGCCCCGGAACAUCCAGAUAUUUCCUCAGUGUGUGCAAUACAUCGAGCAACGUGCGCGCGCUGCGGCUUCAGGCCAUAUCGAAGAUUAGCAUUGCAGCUCGGAAACUGCAGGCUCUCCUCAAGUAUAAAUGUAAGCACACUGCGUGAAAUUGCAGCUUUUUCCUCUAGUCCCGUUGUUCUUAAAUCAUAUCUAUAGUAUCAGAUCGUUGUCCAGGGAAUAAGCUGGAAACUUAUUUUUGUUUGGUAGUUCCACGAACGCCUAUAUACGUGAUUGAAUGUGCUCAGUAGCCGGUGGCCAUGAGUCAUAUGCCACGUUAGCAUGCUAAAGGCAACAGCAAUACUACAUCGCCUUCUCUCCCUUCAAACCAUCACCCACUUCCCUUCUCUAUUCUCAUCUCGCAAUCCUUCUGGAAAGGGCGCGCGCUGUGGCCGAAAGCAUUGCUCCAACUUUGAGCAACGCGUCGUAAGGGAGGUUAUAUCGCCGACAACAUUCUCACCCCCUUGCAACUGAGGUAUAGCCAUCGUCUUCGAAACACGAAAGGGGCAUCGAGGCAGCCCUAGCACACCAUGAAAUCUCAAACAAGCGCCCUCUCCCCUUGCGCCCGCAAACAUCUUUCGUUUGUUACGCAGCCGCAACAACCAUGUCGAAGUACAAAGGGCAAAGAGUUUCUGGACCUGCCUUGCUGCAAUGGCAUUCUGAAAUAACGGCAAAGUUUUUUUUUUUUUUAAUGCAGCAUUGUUAUAACAAUGGUAGGCGGCGCUUAUUCCGAUCGGGACCCGUUUGCUACAAAUUUUACAGCAAGUUGUGAUGGAUAAAAGGAGAAUAGGGAACUCCAACCCACGCCAGCUGCUGCGAUAUCAGGGCUUGGUGAUUUCCGAACUAAUAACAUCUUAACGCUUGUAAAACGAAAAUAAUUGAUAAGCCUAAUCCUUCUGGAAGUAAAAAAAAAAAAAAAGUUUGACGGCAAGUCCGCGCCGACUACAACUUCCUUUACGAAGGACACCGGCGAGGUAUAUAUGGCCCCUCGAUCGCCAGAAAGCCCAGUCACACACACGCAAACACGCGGAUAUCCGCAGACGUGACAAUAAGCUUGACCGACCGAUUUUCGCGGUGCGCGUCCGCCCGGCCCGUAUAAGUGUCUUCGCAAUGGCCAAAAUACAAGCAGGGGCCGCUCGCACUUCCUACAUAGCCAUGGGCGGGCGUCGUCGUCCUCAUCAUCAUCGAACCGCGGCCGGGCGAGUCCCCACACCGCGCCGUGCGUCGCGUGCCAGAGAGCGGGCCGCUGGCGUGAGCCCGCGGCGGGUCAUGGAAUAUUUAAUAGCCCCGAAUUUCGGGCCCCGAUAAAGGCGAAGAGGAGGAAGCGAGGAGGGGGCACACCCAAUCGUGGCGCGCUGCUAAACGCUGCCGUCGCCGCUGUGCUGCCUUCUUCUUCGUCAGCCGCGCGCGCCGGCUGGACUUGGGCGCGCUGACGUCAAAGAGUGCGCUCGCGCCUCCCACUCCAGGCGCUGUGCUCGGAACAAUGCCUUCGUCCGUGUACCGCAGCUGCGAAGGAAGCACGGUGACGACGACGUCGGCCAGACGCGACACAGCUCGCGGUGUUAUACGUGCGUAUAUACGCCGGUGUGCCUUGCUGGCCUCGCCGCCGACCAGUGGGCCCCGACUCCAUCCAUAUGUCGGAAGAGAGAGGAUGUCGGGCCAAAAGAGUGAGAUGAAGAGCAGCGCAAGGAAACGAGCGAUAAGAGAAGCAUCGAAGAGGACUUAUCACCGAAGGACGCGCAUGGCUUCGGCAGUCUCUACACCUUCGUCACGUUCUCGAGCACUCUCGCCCUUCAACUUCUCAGUCCGGCGACCGGGACAAUGGACACCAUGCGAGACAACGCACGCCCUGGGGCUGACUCGAGCUGCCCGUGCAAAACUGGAACCUUUGCGUUGUUUUGUUCGUUCGGCUCGAGUUAGGAACCGGCGUGGAAGCGCCGUUGGAAGAAGCUGGCACCCCUUCUUCUCACCGUCUCGCCCUGCCUGCCCUUUCCCGUCUCGGCGGGGGUGCUCCCCGAAGUGUUCAAUAAAGGUUUACUGCAAUUUUGCUAACUCCG
Dermacentor silvarum is the source of this 3035-nucleotide RNA transcript. RefSeq lists it as uncharacterized. The record is from RefSeq and is a predicted model, not a curated record. The transcript has 2 exons. NCBI's taxonomy places the organism in Eukaryota, Metazoa, Arthropoda, Arachnida, Ixodida, Ixodidae.